Bubalus bubalis (water buffalo) is the source of this 2764-nucleotide RNA transcript. RefSeq lists it as uncharacterized. NCBI's taxonomy places the organism in Eukaryota, Metazoa, Chordata, Mammalia, Artiodactyla, Bovidae. The transcript has 6 exons. The record is from RefSeq and is a predicted model, not a curated record.
UGGUGGUGUCCAACUCUGUGACCCCAUGGACUGUAGCCUGCCAGGCUUCUCUGCCCCUGGCAUUCUCCAGACAAGUAUACUGGAAUGGGUUUCCAUUUCCUUCUCCAGGUGUCCUUCACAUACUGGUCAUCAGGGGCUUUGAGGUCUGGGGGCAGAACCCGGGGCAGCAUCAAAAGGCUCCAAUAAGAGGCCAGAACUUGCAAGACUUUUAGGGCAGGCAGAACGCCACACCUGUGCCCAAGCUGGUUUUUAAUAGGGUCCUCCAGGUGAUCCUGGUGAAAUUUACCUACCUGCUCUAAAAUUCUACAGUUCUGUCCCCUCCAAAGGAAAACCCCAAUCCACACCAUUCUGGAAAGGUCUGGAAGGGAUUUGUCAGCAAGCUGACUGUUUUGAAGACAACUUUCGAGAAAACUUUAAAUGAUACACCAGAAUCACAGACUGCAUGGUGAUGCGAGUCAUUGCCGUGAUAAUACUAUUCCAACUUCACACAGAUGAUACAGCAUUUGUGAAGGACAGUCCAAGAAUGGGGGAAUUCUGGAUAGAAAGACAGCAGGUGAGACAUUGCCUAACUCAAGUCAUCCUCAAGCAAAAACAAAACAAAGAAUCGUGAGUCGCUUGGACCACACGGCACACUUGGAGCAAAAAGACAACAUGGCACUCCUUAAGAAGCCCACACACUGGGAAUUAAACUACCAGAACUGGCAUAUCUCUCCCUCAUCUGGUUGCACCUCCUUUUACAGAUAAAACUGGGGCCCCCCUAGGAGACAUGAGCUGCCCAGGCUCCUAGCAUUCUUGAAUAAUCAAACUGCAUUAGGAAUACACAUCUCCUUAGUGUUUGAGACCUCCCCUUCCACCCUUACUCUCUGGGGUCUAGAGGAGCUUCUCUCCAUCCACGCGUAUCCAGCACACCUGUUCUUGGCUCUCACGUGGCCCCUGUGGGGAGCUCAACAAAAGAUAUUUAUUUGUUCAAAACAACCACAGCUGAAGACAGUCAUCUCUUCACCUCCUGGAAAGCCUCAUUUAACCUAAUGCUGGCAUUUUCUACUCACAGCAACUUCCCAUGAGAGGAACCUACAGCCUCCUUUCCCCGCCUCCAGCUUUCUGGGGCCACGUGUGGAAGUCAAGAUGGGCUUCUCUCUGCCUCAGCCAAAGAGGUCCAGAGAGACCGCAGCUUAGGAGCUGCACCCUAGGCCUGCAGACAUUUCUGCUGUGAGCAGGAGGGGCCUUGGUGCCUGUCCCCUACCCUGCCUGUCCUUCAGGUCCUGCUGGUACCAACUCUCUGACUCUUUACAAGAACUGUGGUUACCGAGACUCCAGAAUCAUUAAGGGUUCAACGUAGCAACCAAAGGGAAAAGGGGAUGAGAACAAACUUGUACUUUGUGCCAACUAUGCCUUUGGAAAGGUUCUAGAAUACAGGAGAAGGAAAUGGCAACCCACUCCAGUGUUCUUGCCUGGAGAAUCCCAGGGACAGGGGAGCCUGGUGGGCUGUCAUCUGUGGGGUCGUGCAGAGUCUGACACGAUUGAAGUGACUUAGCAGUAGCAGAAUACAGGUAAGGACACAGUAGUUUUAAAAGGCAUAAGAACUUGGUGAAGAUCACAUGGUCAAAGCCCAUGUUCAGAACUACAUCUGUCUGACUUCAAAGUCAUGUCCAAGGACAAAGACUCUGCCUCCUUUUUCAGCAUCACCCCCGUGGGAGGCCAGGGCCUAAAACUUGGCCCCUGUCCGAACUUUUUCAAGGGGACUCCAAGAUUCAUCUCUGUCCGUCUCUACACAAAUGACCUAAUUAUAUGUAACCACCAAGGAACAGGAGCAGCUCUGAAGUUGUCAGCAUUCGCAGAGAAAUAUCAAGAGCAUGUAAGUGACUCUGCCUUUGAGGCCACGCUAGGACCUGGGAAGCAAGAAUCAGCAGCUCCAAGUUACAAAAUCAGAAAAGCUUCAGGUGUGUGGAAGGAGAACCAGAUGCGACGAAGGUGGUGUCUCCCGGCGGGCACAGCACACUGUUGGCAGCAAAGCACAAAGGUACAAAAUGACUAAAGUGAAGUGAACCACAGGGAGAAACAGAAAAGAUCCCAGGAAGCCAAGGAGUCAUUUCACAGAUGAGAACAUGCUGGGUGAAGAGAGAGCCCGUUUAAAGAACUGGUGAGGGCCGGGGCCCUGGAGACGGUCCCACAGCCAGGAGGAGCUUGUGUGCUAAGGUCCCAGAGGAGAUGAAUGGCAUAUUCCUUGCCAUGAAAAGGGGGAAAUACAACACUUACCUUGUGAAGCAACAUCCAUCAGAAUCCCAGGGUGGGGAUAACUUACGAAGAGAGGAUACGCUGGAGGUGCCCCGAAGAAACUGGUGUAAGCCUUCUUCGUCUUCGCUGGAGCUGACUAUACUGUUCCUCAUUUCUAGCAUGGACAACUGAGUGCAAAGGCUGAGCUGGUGGUCCAACUUUUUGAUCUUCUGUAAAGCAAAGUUUUAAGAUUUCUGAAUGCUACGGGACUUAGAUCAUAGCUUUCCUGUCCUUCCAUCAGCUUCACAUGGCAUGCCUAUCACUGAACUCCAGCUCAUCCGUGGUCCAUUCUCUCUCCUGAGCACCCUGAGGGCAGGGACUGCAUCUUCAUACUGAGUGCCUGGCUUUCAACACAGAGUGGUGCUCAGUGCAGAUUUACUGAUGAAGGAAUUAACAGAUGAACACAAAUACUUAAGGCAAAAAGUGUUUUUAUAUCUUUAACAUUAAACCCAAUGCCAAGUGGGAGAUUAAUAAAAGUUUUCAAAAUUGA